CAGCAGCCGCGGUAAUACGAAGGGUGCAAGCGUUACUCGGAAUUACUGGGCGUAAAGCGUGCGUAGGUGGUGGUUUAAGUCCGUUGUGAAAGCCCUGGGCUCAACCUGGGAAUUGCAGUGGAUACUGGAUCACUAGAGUGUGGUAGAGGAUAGUGGAAUUUCCGGUGUAGCAGUGAAAUGCGUAGAGAUCGGAAGGAACAUCUGUGGCGAAGGCGACUAUCUGGGCCAACACUGACACUGAGGCACGAAAGCGUGGGGAGUAAACAGGAUUAGAUACCCCCGUAGUCCCUGUCUCUUAUAC
Molecule: ribosomal RNA, 301 nt
Filed under: uncultured bacterium
Lineage: Bacteria
Description: partial 16S ribosomal RNA
Rfam family: Bacterial small subunit ribosomal RNA
Source: RNAcentral